UGGGGAAUAUUGGACAAUGGGCGAAAGCCUGAUCCAGCCAUGCCGCGUGUGUGAAGAAGGUCUUCGGAUUGUAAAGCACUUUAAGUUGGGAGGAAGGGCAGUAACCUAAUACGUUGCUGUCUUGACGUUACCGACAGAAUAAGCACCGGCUAACUCUGUGCCAGCAGCCGCGGUAAUACAGAGGGUGCAAGCGUUAAUCGGAAUUACUGGGCGUAAAGCGCGCGUAGGUGGUUUGUUAAGUUGGAUGUGAAAUCCCCGGGCUCAACCUGGGAACUGCAUUCAAAACUGACAAGCUAGAGUAUGGUAGAGGGUGGUGGAAUUUCCUGUGUAGCGGUGAAAUGCGUAGAUAUAGGAAGGAACACCAGUGGCGAAGGCGACCACCUGGACUGAUACUGACACUGAGGUGCGAAAGCGUGGGGAGCAAACAGGAUUAGAUACCCAGGUAGUCCCUGAGCGGGCUGGCAAGGCGCAU
RNAcentral lists this ribosomal RNA (472 nucleotides) under uncultured bacterium. RNAcentral's name for it is "bacterial SSU rRNA". It matches the Rfam family "Bacterial small subunit ribosomal RNA", at positions 355 to 825 of the family's 1533-position model. The record is from RNAcentral.